This 486-nucleotide ribosomal RNA is filed under the name uncultured organism. RNAcentral's name for it is "bacterial SSU rRNA". It matches the Rfam family "Bacterial small subunit ribosomal RNA", at positions 28 to 507 of the family's 1533-position model. The record is from RNAcentral.
GAUGAACGCUAGCGGGAGGCUUAACACAUGCAAGUCGAGGGGCAGCACGAGGUAGCAAUACUUUGGUGGCGACCGGCGCACGGGUGAGUAACAGGUAUGCAACUUACCCUGUACAGGGGGAUAACCCGGAGAAAUUCGGACUAAUACCCCAUAAUGAUAUAGACAGGCAUCUGUUUAUAUUUAAAGUUCCGACGGUACAGGAUGGGCAUGCUCAACAUUAGCUAGUUGGCGGGGUAACGGCCCACCAAGGCUACGAUGUUUAGGGGUCCUGAGAGGGUGAUCCCCCACACUGGUACUGAGACACGGACCAGACUCCUACGGGAGGCAGCAGUGAGGAAUAUUGGUCAAUGGGCGCAAGCCUGAACCAGCCAUCCCGCGUGAAGGAAGACGGCGCUAUGCGUUGUAAACUUCUUUUCCAGGGGAAUAAAAUGAGGUACGUGUACUUCAUUGCAGGUACCCUGGGAAUAAGCAUCGGCUAACUCCGUG